GCUACGUGAGAGGUGAAAUUCUUGGACCGUAGCAAGACGGACUACAGCGAAAGCAUUUGGCAAGAAUGUCUUCAUUAAUCAAGAACGAAAGUCAGAGGUUCGAAGGCGAUCAGAUACCGCCCUAGUUCUGACCGUAAACGAUGCCAACUAGCGAUCCGCCGGCGGAUUUAUUCGCCCUGGUGGGGAGCUUCCCGGAAACGAAAGUCUUCCGGUUCCGGGGGAAGUAUGGUUGCAAAGCUGAAACUUAAAGGAAUUGACGGAAGGGCACCACCAGGAGUGGAGCCUGCGGCUUAAUUUGACUCAACACGGGGAAACUCACCCGGCCCGGACACCGUAAGGAUUGACAGAUUGAUAGCUUUUUCAUGAUUCGGUGGAUGGUGGUGCAUGGCCGUUCUUAGUUCGUGGAGCGAUUUGUCUGGUUUAUUCCGAUAACGAGCGAGACUCUAGCCUACUAAAUAGUUGGCUCAUUGCUUCUGUGGGCACAACUUCUUAGAGGGAUUUUCGGUGUUCAGCCGCACGAAAUUGAGCAAUAACAGGUCUGUGAUGCCCUUAGAUGUCCGGGGCUGCACGCGCGCUACACUGGCAAAAUCAGCGUGCUUGUCCUUCCCCGAAAGGGGUUGGUAAACCGGUGAAAAUUUGCCGUGAUUGGGAUCGGACAUUGCAAUUAUUGUCCGUGAACGAGGAAUUCCUUGUAGGGGCGAGUCAUCAACUCGCUCUGAAUACGUCCCUGCCCUUUGUACACACCGCCCGUCGCUGCCCGGGACUGAGCCAUUUCGAGAAAUUCGGGGACGGUUAGUGUUCCGGCUUCGGUCGGUAUGCAGACUGGAACCGAUUUAAUCGCAGUGGCUUGAACCGGGCAAAGUCGUAACAGGUAGCUGUAGGUGAACCUGCUGCUG
RNAcentral lists this ribosomal RNA (896 nucleotides) under Heterodera glycines (soybean cyst nematode). RNAcentral's name for it is "SSU rRNA". It matches the Rfam family "Eukaryotic small subunit ribosomal RNA", at positions 899 to 1823 of the family's 1831-position model. The record is from RNAcentral. Lineage: Eukaryota; Metazoa; Nematoda; Chromadorea; Rhabditida; Heteroderidae. RNAcentral also lists the same sequence under 1 other name.